RNAcentral lists this unclassified non-coding RNA (264 nucleotides) under plant metagenome. RNAcentral describes it as "partial contains small subunit ribosomal RNA, internal transcribed spacer 1, and 5.8S ribosomal RNA". The record is from RNAcentral.
GUCUCCGUAGGUGAACCUGCGGAAGGAUCAUUAUUGUAUAACCGAGGUGCGAGGGCUGUCGCUGACCCGAAAGGUCGUGCACGCCCGAGUGCCCUCACACACAUCCAUCUCACCCCUAUGUGCACCACCGCGUGGGUCCCCCUUUGGCUUGUUCGGAGGGGGGCUUACGUUUUCACACAAACUUUGUAUGCAGUGUAGAAUGUAUUUUUUGUUUUUGCGAUCACGCAAUCAAUACAACUUUCAACAACGGAUCUCUUGGCUCUC